CUCAGGACGAACGCUGGCGGCGUGCUUAACACAUGCAAGUCGAGCGGUAAGGCCCUUUCGGGGGUACACGAGCGGCGAACGGGUGAGUAACACGUGGGUGACCUGCCCUCAGCUCUGGGAUAAGCCUGGGAAACCGGGUCUAAUACUGGAUAUGACUCCAUGACGCAUGUUGUGGGGUGGAAAGCCUUGUGCGGCUGAGGAUGGGCCCGCGGCCUAUCAGCUUGUUGGUGGGGNGAUGGCCUACCAAGGCGACGACGGGUAGCCGGCCUGAGAGGGCGACCGGCCACACUGGGACUGAGACACGGCCCAGACUCCUACGGGAGGCAGCAGUGGGGAAUCUUGCGCAAUGGGCGAAAGCCUGACGCAGCGACGCCGCGUGAGGGAUGACGGCCU
This 393-nucleotide ribosomal RNA is filed under the name uncultured bacterium. Its description in RNAcentral is "bacterial SSU rRNA". It matches the Rfam family "Bacterial small subunit ribosomal RNA", at positions 23 to 417 of the family's 1533-position model. The record is from RNAcentral.